This 460-nucleotide ribosomal RNA is filed under the name uncultured bacterium. Its description in RNAcentral is "partial 16S ribosomal RNA". It matches the Rfam family "Bacterial small subunit ribosomal RNA", at positions 338 to 795 of the family's 1533-position model. The record is from RNAcentral.
CCUACGGGUGGCAGCAGUGAGGAAUAUUGGUCAAUGGACGAGAGUCUGAACCAGCCAAGUAGCGUGAAGGAUGACUGCCCUAUGGGUUGUAAACUUCUUUUAUAUGGGAAUAAAACGUUCCACGUGUGGGAUUUUGUAUGUACCAUAUGAAUAAGGAUCGGCUAACUCCGUGCCAGCAGCCGCGGUAAUACGGAGGAUCCGAGCGUUAUCCGGAUUUAUUGGGUUUAAAGGGAGCGUAGGUGGAUUGUUAAGUCAAUUGUGAAAGUUUGCGGCUCAACCGUAAAAUUGCAGUUGAAACUGGCAGUCUUGAGUACAGUAGAGGUGGGCGGAAUUCGUGGUGUAGCGGUGAAAUGCUUAGAUAUCACGAAGAACUCCGAUUGCGAAGGCAGUUCACUGGACUGCAACUGACACUGAGGCUCGAAAGUGUGGGUAUCAAACAGGAUUAGAUACCCUUGUAGUC